UGAUCCGCGGCGGGAGAGACCUCCCGGCACCCCGGGCAGGCGCCGUAGGAGCAAACCCUCCCCGGGAAUCUCUCAGGCACCCGUACCGCCGCGGCGAG
This 98-nucleotide non-coding RNA is filed under the name Arthrobacter woluwensis. Its description in RNAcentral is "Glycine sequence". It matches the Rfam family "Glycine riboswitch aptamer". From Rfam's summary of the family: This family represents the bacterial glycine riboswitch. Lineage: Bacteria; Bacillati; Actinomycetota; Actinomycetes; Micrococcales; Micrococcaceae. The record is from Rfam by way of RNAcentral.